GACGAACGCUGGCGGCGUGCUUAACACAUGCAAGUCGAACGGAAAGGCCCUGCUUUUGUGGGGUGCUCGAGUGGCGAACGGGUGAGUAACACGUGAGUAACCUGCCCUUGACUUUGGGAUAACUUCAGGAAACUGGGGCUAAUACCGGAUAGGAGCUCCUGCUGCAUGGUGGGGGUUGGAAAGUUUCGGCGGUUGGGGAUGGACUCGCGGCUUAUCAGCUUGUUGGUGGGGUAGUGGCUUACCAAGGCUUUGACGGGUAGCCGGCCUGAGAGGGUGACCGGCCACAUUGGGACUGAGAGACGGCCCAGACUCCUACGGGAGGCAGCAGUGGGGAAUAUUGCACAAUGGGCGGAAGCCUGAUGCAGCAACGCCGCGUGCGGGAUGACGGCCUUCGGGUUGUAAACCGCUUUCGCCUGUGACGAAGCGUGAGUGACGGUAAUGGGUAAAGAUGCACCGGCUAACUACGUG
RNAcentral lists this ribosomal RNA (468 nucleotides) under uncultured bacterium. Its description in RNAcentral is "partial 16S ribosomal RNA". It matches the Rfam family "Bacterial small subunit ribosomal RNA", at positions 28 to 507 of the family's 1533-position model. The record is from RNAcentral.